This 213-nucleotide ribosomal RNA is filed under the name uncultured bacterium. RNAcentral describes it as "partial 16S ribosomal RNA". It matches the Rfam family "Bacterial small subunit ribosomal RNA", at positions 118 to 351 of the family's 1533-position model. The record is from RNAcentral.
UGGGAACGUGCCUUUUGGUUCGGAACAACUGAGGGAAACUUCAGCUAAUACCGGAUAAGCCCUUACGGGAAAGAUUUAUCGCCAAAAGAUCGGCCCGCGUCUGAUUAGCUAGUUGGUGGGUAAUGGCCACCAAGGCUACGAUCAGUAGCUGGUCUGAGAGGAUGAUCAGCCACACUGGGACUGAGACACGGCCCAGACUCCUACGGGAGGCAG